UUGGGUCACUUCUCCAGCAA
RNAcentral lists this unclassified non-coding RNA (20 nucleotides) under Mus musculus (house mouse). Its description in RNAcentral is "oocyte_clustered_small_RNA106". Lineage: Eukaryota; Metazoa; Chordata; Mammalia; Rodentia; Muridae. The record is from RNAcentral.